UACGUAGGUCCCGAGCGUUGUCCGGAUUUAUUGGGCGUAAAGCGAGCGCAGGCGGUUUGAUAAGUCAGAAGUAAAAGGCUGUGGCUCAACCAUAGUACGCUUUUGAAACUGUCAAACUUGAGUGCAGAAGGGGGGAGUGGAAUUCCAUGUGUAGCGGUGAAAUGCGUAGAUAUAUGGAGGAACACCGGUGGCGAAAGCGGCUCUCUGGUCUGUAACUGUCGCUGAGGCUCGAAAGCGUGGGGAGCGAACAGG
This 252-nucleotide ribosomal RNA is filed under the name uncultured bacterium. Its description in RNAcentral is "partial 16S ribosomal RNA". It matches the Rfam family "Bacterial small subunit ribosomal RNA", at positions 524 to 776 of the family's 1533-position model. The record is from RNAcentral.